AUGAGUUCUUUAUUCCCUCCCACUCCACACCUCUCUCCUCGGCCCCAUUCUCUGGGUUGUGCUUCGUUCUCUGAGGAAGAAUGCAGCUUUUCAUCUUAUCAAGAGUGGCCCAGAAGAGGGGCAACUAGGGGAAUUCCUAUAUGGUGGAGAGACUUUCGAUCGCUUCAACAUCUCCAAUGGCGUGAAACAAGGCUGUGUCCUCGCUCCGGUACUCUUCAACCUAUCCUUCACCCAGGUAUUACAACAUGCUGUGAUGGAUCUAAAUCUGGGCGUCUACAUCAAAGACUGACUGGAUUGCUCACUAUUUGACCUUCGCCGCCUGACUGCAAAAACAAAGACAACAGAGAGACUCAUCCUGGAAGCUCUCUUCACAGAUGACUGUGCUCUCAUGACCCACCAAGAAAAUCAUCUCCAAACCAUUGUGGACAGGUUCUCCACCACAACAAAACUGUUUGGCCUGACUGUCACCCUCAGCAAAACAGAGGUGCUGUUCCAACCUGCACCAGGGAAGCCAACAAUCCAGCCGUGCAUUACAAUCGACGGCACGGCAGCUUUCUAACGUCAACACCUUUAAGUACCUCAGCAGCACCAUCGCCAACGACGGGUCCCUAGACCACGAGAUUAUUGCCAGGAUCCAAAAGGCCAGCCAGGCAAUCGGGCGGCUGCGCUCCAAAGUCCUCCAACACAGCGGUGUAAGCACUGCGACGAAGCUCAAAGUGUACAACGCAGUGGUCCUCAGCUCACUCCUGUACGGUUGUGAGACAUGGACACUGUACUGGAAGCACAUGAAGCAGCUGGAGCAAUUCCACCAACGCUCCCUCUGGUCAAUCAUGAGGAUCCAAUGGCAGGACUGAAUCACCAACCAGGAAGUCCUCGACAGAGCCAACUCCACCAGCAUCGAAGUCAUGGUCCUCAGAACCCAGCUACGAUGGUCUGGACACGUCAUCCGCAUGGACCCACAGCGAAUACCAAGACAGGUAUUCUAUGGUGAACUGUCAGCUGGACUCAGGAAACAAGGCCGACCAAAGAAAAGAUUCAAGGACUAGCUAAAGUCAAACUUGAAGUGGGCUGACAUUACACCAAAGCAACUAGAACCUGCUGUCUCUAUCAGAAGCAGCUGGUGAACCCACAUUAACCAUGCUGCCAUCACCUUUGAAGAUGAGCAACGUCAAUGUCUUGCCACUGCGCGUGAACGCCAAUACCAGGCCACAACCGCACCUCCCGUAACAACUGGCGUCCCAGGCCCCAUGUGCCACAAACUCUGCGCCUCAGCCUUUGGACUCCAAAGCCAUAUGAGGGUACAUCAAUA
Molecule: long non-coding RNA, 1309 nt
Filed under: Monodelphis domestica (gray short-tailed opossum)
Lineage: Eukaryota; Metazoa; Chordata; Mammalia; Didelphimorphia; Didelphidae
Description: lncRNA (ENSMODG00000041444.1)
Source: RNAcentral